AGAAUCAACGCUGGCGGCGUGCCUAACGCAUGCAAGUCGCACGAGAAAGGGGAGCAAUCCCUGAGUAAAGUGGCGCACGGGUGAGUAACACGUGAAUAAUCUACCUCCGAGUGGGGAAUAACUGAGAGAAAUCUUAGCUAAUACCGCAUAACACUUACGAGUCAAAGCAGCAAUGCGCUUGGAGAGGAGUUCGCGGCCGAUUAGUUAGUUGGCGGGGUAAUGGCCCACCAAGACGAUGAUCGGUA
Molecule: ribosomal RNA, 245 nt
Filed under: uncultured bacterium
Lineage: Bacteria
Description: partial small subunit ribosomal RNA
Rfam family: Bacterial small subunit ribosomal RNA
Source: RNAcentral